UACGAAGGGUGCAAGCGUUACUCGGAAUUACUGGGCGUAAAGCGUGCGUAGGUGGUUGUUUAAGUCUGUUGUGAAAGCCCUGGGCUCAACCUGGGAAUUGCAGUGGAUACUGGGCGACUAGAGUGUGGUAGAGGGUAGUGGAAUUCCCGGUGUAGCAGUGAAAUGCGUAGAGAUCGGGAGGAACAUCCAUGGCGAAGGCAGCUACCUGGACCAACACUGACACUGAGGCACGAAAGCGUGGGGACCAAACAGG
Molecule: ribosomal RNA, 253 nt
Filed under: uncultured bacterium
Lineage: Bacteria
Description: partial 16S ribosomal RNA
Rfam family: Bacterial small subunit ribosomal RNA
Source: RNAcentral